Elaeis guineensis (African oil palm) is the source of this 1136-nucleotide non-coding RNA. The record is from RefSeq and is a predicted model, not a curated record. NCBI's taxonomy places the organism in Eukaryota, Viridiplantae, Streptophyta, Magnoliopsida, Arecales, Arecaceae.
UGGAGGCCGAAGACCGUGCAUUAGUCCCUCUCCCCGCUUCCUUAUCAAGGCCACGGUGUAGCCCUGCCUGCCUGCGCUCUUAUCCUUCCUGGUAAUCCCUUCGUCCGCCACCCAAUUCGAUGGCGCUGCUCGCUCUGGGACUUAUGGGGGCUCUUCCUGUAGCUUCCUCCUUCUAUCGUGACCCGCACUCCUCCCACCUCUCCUCCUCUCGCGCCGAAAUGGUAUCCCUCUCCGCGACGAAUCCUUUUUCGGUUUCAACGCCCCUCAGAGCUCCUCGGGCGCUUCCUUCAUUAGUGUACUGCGGCAGAGGGGAUAAGAAGACCGCCAAAGGAAAGCGGUUCAAUCAUUCCUUCGGAAACGCACGGCCUCGUAACAAGAAGAAGGGAAGAGGCCCUCCGCGGGUUCCAGCGCCGCCUUCACCUCCCAAGAAAGACCGUUUUGAUGAUGGGGAGGUCGUCAAGAUCGAAAUUGACGAGUCCCUAUUCUCCUAGCUACGUGGAUGCGAUGUACGAGCAUGUUCUCCGUUCCUAUCUUUCUAUUCAAGAAAUUUAUAAUUCCCAGCGGACGAUUGCUGCUGCUGCUGCAGUAACUAUUCUACCUAUCCAUCGCUUCAUGCCCUUUUCCCUUCUCUACCAUUUUUGGCCAACAAAAAGCCAGUCUUUUGCUGCUAAUUUAAUCUUAGGCAGACGAGAGUCAAAUGGAUGACAAAGCCAGAGAAAUGCCUUUGUAAAUUAUAUGCUAGCAAAUAGUUAAGUGAAUACAAAGACAUUACCAUAGGCUGUGGAAAGCACCAAAUAUUCAGGGAGUUUACUGCAAGAUUGAUAAAUAAGCAUAAGUAAGCUUCAUAAGUAUCAGUUGGAGGGGAGUGAUAGUGGAGGAGAGGUGCUUUGUUUUGGUUAUCGUAUAUACGCUGAUGCGCUAUCAGCAGUAUAUGGUCCUUCAGCUUUCACAGGGGGUGCUGAUAUUGAUUCUCUGCUCAUCCUUCACACGGAGAUAGUAGAAAGGCGAUCGUGGAGAUCUAGUAUCUUUCCUCUAGAGAUUGCAACCAUGCUGUAUAUGGUUGUUGAAUGUUCUCUUUUCUAACUUCUAUCAUGUAGCAAAGCUGAUAGUGGACAAUUUCAGAUAUUUCAUUUUAA